GAGAUUAAACCCACAGCCUUGCUCAUGUUACACACUCUUCUCUGAGCUCCCCUCAGCCCUCUCUUGUUUUAUUUUUAUUUCUUAUUUUGACAUAGGAUCUUACUACGGUAGCCUGACGGGGUCUUAAACUCACUCUGUUGCUUAGGCUUUCAACCUGUAAUCCUCCUGCCUCAGCCUUGUGAGUGGCUGGGAUUGCAGGCUUCCUCGUGUUCCUUUCAAGCAGCAACGAGCACAUAUCAAAUCCCUUUCUAAGGCUGGAUUUCUGCUGUUAGUUCUUCUUGUGCUCGAAAUAGUUACAGGAUUGGUCUCUCCCAGCCCUUUCCUGAUAAGUAAGCUGUGGGAGUCACGUAGACAAAUACUUUGGAGUUUGGAGACCUGUUCAGUUUAUCCCAAGUGUGGAGUGUGCGCUUCCGGGCUUGUUAAUGAUUACUCUGAAUAGUGCUUCUUGAGAGCGUUGGCAGCCGAGUCUUUGUCUCUUUUCUCUGAUUGCAGCGAGAGCAGGUGGUACUCUCUGGCACGGUGAGAAGCAGCGCAUGCUUCUUUCCCGUUUCAGAUGGGCUCCACAACUCAGAGGAGAGCCCUCAUCGCUCGGUCCUCCCUCUGCGGAGCAGGCACCGGCCCAUCUUCCUCUCAGUGGAUAACAACCCUCUUUUCCUGUUGCUAGAAGACUGGGGACAUCUUUGGCUGGAAUAGACCACUGUGGGGAGAAGGCUCUUAGGAGAGUGGUCCAUGAGGAAGACCUAUCAUGAGAAGAAAGGAUCAAAUCAGGCUUCGUGGCAAGUACCUUGGCUCACCAAGGCAUGUUGGCUGUUCCUGUAGCAGAGACUCUAGAAGAAAAAGCACCUAUACAGUGCCACUGAAUGGAUAUUCUUGGAUGUGUGCACUUCAUAGUUAUGACAGAUAUUGCCAUGUAUGCCUGGCAGCACUUGCACUUGCUACCCUCUUGCCUCCUCCAUUUGAGUGCUGGAAAAACAGGCAGGAGCCCCCACAUCUGGCUGCUGUGCCCGGCUUGUUGAUGGAGGAGUGUUCUUAGUGAUCCUGUUGGGUUUGAAGCUGCCUGCUUCUCUGAGGAAAUCAAGUUACAAACUUGCUUCAUAGCUCUGCAUAGCACUUCGUUGUUUUUCUUUUUUAUCGCGGGUGGAAACAACCUUGAAAAUGGCAGAGUCACAAAGAGAAAAGCGCACCUGGGCCAUUAGACCUGGGGCAGCUUUGUGUCUCAGGCUUCUCAGGAUGGUUUCUGAAGUCUGAAAGAUCCGGAUUCUGGACUAGCACAGUUUAAAGCCAGACGUCGUGUGUUAGAGGAGACACAGCAUCACCAUCCGGACUUCAUCCUUCUUCAGAAGAAUUGAUACUUAAGACACGGUUUCUAAAUAAUGCUUGUAAUGUACGUUAUUUUAUUUUAUUCUAUUUUAUUUUUCGGCCAGGAGGAAUUCUACAAUUUUUAAUUUUAGAUUUCAAGCUGUUUUGUGGAAGCCAGUGUGUGCUUCUGUCCAGUUUGCGGACACCUCGGCUGGUGUUUGCAGCUCUCAGGAUCAUAUUCGCCACUCUUACUUUCUAAGUGAGGAAGCUAAAGCUGGAACAGAGCGGUGUGAACAGCAAAACUAUCGAUCAGGCCUGGCAUUGCGAACGCUAGUGAGCAUACUCUUACUCACUCUCUAGCAUCAGAUUAUUAGAGGGGAUCAAGACAGACAGGCGGCCAGAAGCCACCUUGUUAAAUACUAAAGCCUAGACUGCCAGCAGCCAAGAGCUCGUGAAACAUCUUCAAAGCCAGAAGUCCCACACGCAUUUUUGAAAGGUUGCCUGUGGUUUCCUGUAAACAACUGUAUGUUAAAUGGCUCCACAAAGGAAGGCCUUAUUAAGAAUAAACGAUUUGAAGAAGGAUGAUGUGGGCGGCGACAUAAUCACAAUUUUUCUAGAGGGCUUGAUUUGUCAAUGCGUUGGUUAAUUUUGCAACCACAUUCAACUGAAACUUCGUGUCUGGGCUUCCUACCACAGCAUAUCUUCCAUGAGGCUGCCUGAGAGUAGGCUGCCUGAGAGUAGGGAGAUACCCCAACCCAGCAGCAAGACCUGUGUUUGCAGCAUGACCUUAUUGGGUUGAGCCCUGAUGCUGCCCCCUCCACCCCCUCCCCUUGGGUGUAUGUGAGGAUUAAAACUAUUAUUCAUAUUUGAAUAUUAA
RNAcentral lists this small RNA (2176 nucleotides) under Rattus norvegicus (Norway rat). RNAcentral's name for it is "uncharacterized LOC102551356". Lineage: Eukaryota; Metazoa; Chordata; Mammalia; Rodentia; Muridae. The record is from RNAcentral.